AACGAACGCUGGCGGCGCGCCUAAUACAUGCAAGUCGAGCGAGAAGGUGUAGCAAUACACUUGUAAAGCGGCGAACGGGUGAGGAAUGCAUGGGUAAUCUACCAUCGAGUGGGGAAUAACCAACCGAAAGGUUGGCUAAUACCGCGUACGCCUCCGAGUCUUCGGGUUCGGAGGGAAAGCUGCACUGUGAGUGUAGCGCUCUUUGAUGAGCUCAUGUCCUAUCAGCUUGUUGGUAGGGUAACGGCCUACCAAGGCUUUGACGGGUAGCUGGUCUGAGAGGACGAUCAGCCACACUGGCACUGCGACACGGGCCAGACUCCUACGGGAGGCAGCAGUAAGGAAUAUUGCGCAAUGGGCGAAAGCCUGACGCAGCGACGCCGCGUGGGGGAUGAAGGUCUUCGGAUUGUAAAACCCUACGUCGCCAGGGACGAAGGGUGGGGCGGUGAAUAGCGUUCUACUUUGACGGUACCUGGAAGGAAGCCCCGGCUAACUCUGUGCC
Molecule: ribosomal RNA, 499 nt
Filed under: uncultured bacterium
Lineage: Bacteria
Description: bacterial SSU rRNA
Rfam family: Bacterial small subunit ribosomal RNA
Source: RNAcentral